ACGUGAUAGCCUGCGAUAAGCUUCGGGGAGCUGGCAAAUUAGCUUUGAUCCGGAGAUUUCCGAAUGGGGAAACCCACCCGCAGGGGUAUCGCAUGCUGAAUACAUAGGCAUAAGAGGCGAACGCAGUGAACUGAAACAUCUAAGUAACUGCAGGAAAAGAAAUCAACCGAGAUUCCGAAAGUAGCGGCGAGCGAAAUCGGAACAGCCUGAAUGUGAUAACCGACGUGUUAGCGGAAUGGUCUGGAAAGGCCAGCGAUAGAGGGUGAUAGCCCCGUACGCGAAAACCUGUUGGUGGUACUGAGCAUUCGACAAGUAGGGCGGGACACGUGAAAUCCUGUCUGAAGAUGGGGGGACCAUCCUCCAAGGCUAAAUACUCGUAAUCGACCGAUAGUGAACCAGUACUGUGAAGGAAAGGCGAAAAGAACCCCGGGAGGGGAGUGAAAUAGAUCCUGAAACCGCAUGCAUACAAACAGUCGGAGCCUGGAAACGGGUGACGGCGUACCUUUUGUAUAAUGGGUCAGCGACUUACGUUUAGUGGCAAGCUUAACCGUAUAGGGGAGGCGUAGGGAAACCGAGUCCGAAUAGGGCGUCCAGUCGCUAGGCGUAGACCCGAAACCCGGCGAUCUACUCAUGGCCAGGAUGAAGGUGAGGUAACACUUACUGGAGGUCCGAACCGACUACUGUUGCAAAAGUAGCGGAUGAGCUGUGGGUAGGGGUGAAAGGCUAAACAAGCCGGGAAAUAGCUGGUUCUCCCCGAAAACUAUUUAGGUAGUGCGUCGUGUAUUGCUCCAGGGGGUAGAGCACUGUAAUGGUUGUGGGGGUCAUUGAGACUUACUGCGCCAUAGCAAACUCCGAAUACCUGGAAGUAUGAGCACGGCAGACAGUCCUCGGGUGCUAACGUCCGAGGUCAAGAGGGAAACAACCCAGACCGCCAGCUAAGGUCCCCAAUAUUUGCUAAGUGGGAAACGAAGUGGGAAGGCUAAGACAGUCAGGAAGUUGGCUUAGAAGCAGCCAUCCUUUAAAGAAAGCGUAAUAGCGCACUGAUCGAGUCGUCCUGCGCGGAAGAUGUAACGGGGCUAAGCAAAUAACCGAAGCUGCGGAUUUACGAGAAAUCGUAAGUGGUAGGGGAGCGUUCCGUAAGCCUGUGAAGGUGGCUUGUAAAGGCUGCUGGAGGUAUCAG
This 1180-nucleotide ribosomal RNA is filed under the name Cytophagaceae bacterium. RNAcentral describes it as "partial 23S ribosomal RNA". It matches the Rfam family "Bacterial large subunit ribosomal RNA", at positions 56 to 1285 of the family's 2925-position model. Lineage: Bacteria; Pseudomonadati; Bacteroidota; Cytophagia; Cytophagales; Cytophagaceae. The record is from RNAcentral.